GACGAACGCUGGCGGCGCGCUUAAUACAUGCAAGUCGAGCGAGAACCAGUCCUUCGGGACUGGGGAAAGCGGCGAACGGGUGAGUAACACGUGGGUAAUCUGCCCUCGGCACUGGGAUAGCCCGGGGAAACCCGGAUUAAUACCGGAUAGCCUUUCGAGCCUUCGGGCUCGUCAGAAAAGGUGGCUUCGGCUUCCGGCUGAGGAUGAGCCCGCGGCGGAUUAGCUUGUUGGUGAGGUAAUGGCUCACCAAGGCUCCGAUCUGUAGCUGGUCUGAGAGGACGAUCAGCCACACUGGGACUGAGACACGGCCCAGACUCCUACGGGAGGCAGCAGUAGGGAAUCUUGCGCAAUGGGCGAAAGCCUGACGGAGCAAUGCCGCGUGGAGGUGGAAGGCCUACGGGUCGUCAAC
This 409-nucleotide ribosomal RNA is filed under the name uncultured bacterium. RNAcentral's name for it is "bacterial SSU rRNA". It matches the Rfam family "Bacterial small subunit ribosomal RNA", at positions 28 to 430 of the family's 1533-position model. The record is from RNAcentral.